Ictalurus punctatus (channel catfish) is the source of this 1303-nucleotide long non-coding RNA. NCBI's taxonomy places the organism in Eukaryota, Metazoa, Chordata, Actinopteri, Siluriformes, Ictaluridae. The record is from Ensembl.
UGGACGGAGAGAUCCUGCAUGCGCUGUGAAGCGAGUGUGUUCUGUGGCGUAUCGGCACCUGGACAAGCACAAGAUCGAGCCGGUGCUCUACAUGAUGGAGUGGUUCAUGUGCGCCUUCUCCAGAACUCUGCCCUGGGCCUCGGUCCUCAGAGUGUGGGACAUGUUCCUGUGUGACGGUCAGACACAAACACACACUUGUCCUUCUUUUCUUUCUGUGUUGAUUCUCUCUCUCAUUAUUUCUUUGUGUAGGAGUGAAAAUGAUAUUCGUGUGGGUUUGGAGUUGUUGACGUCCAUGCUGGUACUCGGGAUAAGCUCAAGGCCUGUCCGGGUCAGUAUGAGACCAUGGAGGUCCUCAGAGCGAUUGAGCCCAGAUACAUGCAGGAGGGCUUCUUAGUGCUCCAGGUUCUGGAGUUGCAGGUAUCGGCACAGGACGUGGAACGUGAGCAACGCACGCAGCUGAAGCGCUGGAAGAAGAAGCACGGCGAGCCGGCGAGCCCGGCCCCAAACUCCCUCAGAGAAUGCACAGUGCUCGCGCCAUCAUGGCCACCGAGCCUCAUACACACCAAGACCUCCGCCAGAAACCCACCAUUAUGGUCCAGUACCCAUCGGUCCCUGAGGAGAAGUCCGAGCUGAACCUCAGGAAGAAGAGAGGGAGCCUGUAGAAAAACCAAGCCCUCAUUCCGAGCCCCUACGCGCUACCUGGCGAGUCUAAACCUAGUCAGAUAUUGGACAUACAGCUUCUGAACCAGGAAAAUCUCAAUCUUGUACUUCCAAAUCCACCAUCACAUCCACCACGGCUCCCUACAAUGCAGGAAAAUCAGGUCAAAGAAACAAGCACUUCUACAGAGCGACUCGUGCAUCAUCCUCGAAUUCCUCCAUCGAUAAGAAACCGGGGGAAUCUAUCCCUCUGCAACAUCUAUCCCUCCUUACUGCUCCUGUACACGGAUCACCUUCAGCGUAGCGUCCUCACCUGCUGAAAUGUGCUCCUGUCCAAUCCAGAGAACCUGACCAUGAUGAGCUCCCUAAUAAUACAGAAAACUCAGCCACCAUUUUGGAUCCAUCUACAGACUCAAGCCCUCUGCUAACGCACAACGCACCUGCCACCCACGACUCGCCUGCUGCUCCCGAGUACAAAAAGAACACUCAUUGAUUUUUUUUUUUUGUUGUUGUGCGUGUUAAACAGUGUGAUACGUUGAGGAAUUGAUUAUUGGCACACGUCUACUGAAUAGCAAGGAUCGUUAAGUCUUUAACGUGUUAUAGUUUACACCGGAGGAACUGCAAACAAUCUGAGAGAGGACCACAC